This 401-nucleotide ribosomal RNA is filed under the name uncultured Glomeromycotina. RNAcentral's name for it is "SSU rRNA". It matches the Rfam family "Eukaryotic small subunit ribosomal RNA", at positions 693 to 1092 of the family's 1831-position model. Lineage: Eukaryota; Fungi; Glomeromycota. The record is from RNAcentral.
UUCCUCCUUCUUGAAGAACUGUGAUGUCAUUCAUUUGGUGUUGCAGGGAAACAGGACUGUUACUUUGAAAAAAUUAGAGUGUUUAAAGCAGGCUAACGCUUGAAUACAUUAGCAUGGAAUAAUGAAAUAGGACGUUUGAUCCUAUUUUGUUGGUUUCUAGGAUUGACGUAAUGAUUAAUAGGGAUAGUUGGGGGCAUUAGUAUUCAAUUGUCAGAGGUGAAAUUCUUGGAUUUAUUGAAGACUAACUACUGCGAAAGCAUUUGCCAAGGAUGUUUUCAUUAAUCAAGAACGAAAGAUAGGGGAUCGAAGACGAUCAGAUACCGUCGUAGUCUUAACCAUAAACUAUGCCGACUAGGGAUCGGAUGAUGUUAAUUUUUUAAUGACUCAUUCGGCGCCUUACG